This 1896-nucleotide long non-coding RNA is filed under the name Sus scrofa (pig). Its description in RNAcentral is "lncRNA (ENSSSCG00060048327.1)". Lineage: Eukaryota; Metazoa; Chordata; Mammalia; Artiodactyla; Suidae. The record is from RNAcentral.
UCUUCAAAGUCCUCUUAUGGAGUCCAGCCAAUUGGAGAUGACCAGAGACCGUGACGGUUUUGGUUAGAUGUUGCUUCUCUGUUUCAGGGCUGUAUCUCCCUGACCCCACCCCAGCCCGCCUGCCUUUCUGGGAAGAGAACUGCAGGUACCACAGGAUGUCACAAGGUUGGCAGCUGCGGUUCUGAUUUGGCGCCUAGCCUGGGAACUUCCAUAUGCCAUAGGUGCGGCCCAAAAAGGAGAAAAGGAAGAAAAAAAGAGGAAGAGGACGAGAAAGAAGGAGAUGACGAAGAAAAAGAAGAAAAGGAGGAGGAGAGGAAGAAAAAUUCGGCAGUUUCGCAAAUGGUAAUUUGGGGUUCAGACAGGCCAUUCAGAAGCCCCUUCCCCAUUUCUGUGGAGCACUGAAGCGCCGGGGCAGGUGGGGAUGCUGACAAGAUCACAUUCCCUGAUAUAAAUUAGGGCUGUGAGAGCCUGUUCUCCAGGGACCUCAGUGCAGACCCUGAAACCCAGGCCCCAGAGAUCUCCCAGCACUACCAUUAAUAGUGUGGACUGUGGCAGAGCCAACUCAAGUUCAACCGCCUGGGUGUGUGGCCUUGAGCACCUGACCUCCCAGUGUCUCUUCUGGAAGCACCCCAUAAAUAUUAACCAUCAGCAUUAAUAGCUGUCGCAGUGAAUUAUUUUUUUAAGUCCGAGGACAGUCCAGAAAGGACUACUUACAGUAACUGUGAUCUGAAAUUAAUGUUCCUUUCAUUACAAUAGAAAUAACCUAGUUAUCCUUCAGCUAUUAUGUUCCACUUGCAAAUCUUGUUAUUGUUUAUAAAUAUCUCAAGAUAAGAAUAGUGACCUCCCAAUUGCUGUGAUUAAUGAUCUAUGAACUCAACUUGAAGACCCUGAACUUCUUUUAAAAAGUCAUUUGCAAGCUUAAUUAAAUUCCCCUAAACACUUUGAACUGCAUUGAUAAAUUUAAUAUAUUACAUUUCCUUUGUAAGCACUUCGGUUGCCUAACAGAGCAAACUGAUGACUCCAACAAAGGAAAUAUCUCCAAGUAAUAAGUUCUUAUAAGCCUAAGAAAGAAAAUCUAUUAACAUAGUGAAGCACUGGUUUCAUUAAAAAAAAAAAAAUCUCAUAAUAUUCACAAAAAGGGAAUCAAAUUUUCUUUCCACUUCGAAAUAAACUCACAAGUCUAAGUUGUAGUACAUAUUUAAAGCACGUCAGGUUAAUCUGCCAGUCCAUGGAAUUCCCAUCAUGGUGCAGAGGAAAUGAAUCCGACUAGGAACCUUGAGGUUGCAAGUUCAAUCCCUGGCCUCACUCAAUGGGUUAAGGAUCCGGCGUUGCCAUGAGCUGUGGUGUAGCUCGCAGACACGGCUUGGUUCUUGCGUUGCUGUGGCUGUGGCAUAGGCUGGCAGCUACAGCUCUGAUUUGACCCCUAGCCUGGGAACCUACAUAUGCCGUGGGUGAGGCUCUAAAAAGACAAAAGACAAAAACGAACAAACAAAAAAAAACCUGUCAGUCUUUAAUGUGCUGGAUUCUCUUAACUAUCACAGUAUUUUAAAAUAACCAAUGUACACCGUUAACUCCUAAACUUGACAUUUUGAUAUUUAGGGCUUAAUUCGUUUUAUCAUCUUAGUGUUUUUUGUUUUUGUUUUUGUCUUUUUAGGUCUGUAUUUUCAGCAUGUGGAAGUUCCCAGGCUAGGGGUCAAAUCAGAGCUGCAGCUGCCAGCCUGCACCACUGCCACAGCAACACCGGAUCUGAGCCGAAUCUGCAACCUAUGCCACAGCAUACAGCAAACCGGAUCUUAGCCGAAUCUGCAAACUAUGCCACAGCAUACGGCAACACUGGAUCUCUAACCCACUGAGCAAGACCAGGAUCAAACCCAAAUCCUCAUGGAUACUAGUCAG